UGGAACGCCUCUAAGUCAGAAUCCAACAGAGUAAAAUCCAAGUAAGAUGUGAAAGUUGAAGUGCCCAACUAUGGUGAUCUUUUUCACAAAGUUGGGGGAAACUAUUAGAUGUUUCAAUUUGAGUAACAAACUCUUUACUCAACUUGCUAAUGAUUCAUUUUGUUGACAAGUAGAGUAGUGCCAAGUGAAGCACUUUGUGCUGAUCUUUGGUCAAAGGAAAAUGUUACCUGGUUGAUUCUGCCAGUA
RNAcentral lists this unclassified non-coding RNA (246 nucleotides) under Puccinia triticina. Its description in RNAcentral is "partial contains 28S-18S ribosomal RNA intergenic spacer and small subunit ribosomal RNA". Lineage: Eukaryota; Fungi; Basidiomycota; Pucciniomycetes; Pucciniales; Pucciniaceae. The record is from RNAcentral.